ACGGAUGCGGCCCUCGAGGCCUGGGGGUGCAAAGGACAGUUCUGAGGUCACACGGGCCUCACAGCUCACCCCCAGGGCCUCCGAGUCGCCUCUGUAAUGUUCCCUCUGUUGAUCUACUGUGGUCUGUAGCUAAGGGCCACUCAGGUGCCCUUAACCAAGGGCUUGCCCCUGCGGGAGGACACCUCUUCCAGGCAGUCUCCAUGAUUUCUCCACAGUCCCCCCAGGUCUCUGAGCCACGGCCGCUGGCUGGCUGUCCUGCUGUCUCGGCAUUGGCUUCCGUGUGUGGUUCCCAUGAGCCCCAACCUUAGAGGUCUGUGUUGAAUCCCCGCCAGGGCAAAGGUACUGAACUUGGUGAUUUCAGAGGCUCUGUUUUGAGCCCAGGGUCUUGGCAGCUUCCCCCUGCUGACACAAAGUGGGGUUGCAGGAACUCAGGUCCUGGGUGAGAAUCCUACACCAGGGCACUCCGUAAACAGGGAGGGGGGGGUCAAGGAAGUUGCACGUGGGGCCCCGGAUGGAUCUGGCUUCCUCCAGGAGUUGCUAAAUGCAGCUGUGGCCGCCCAGGUGCGUGUGCUAAGCAGCCUAGCCCCAUGCAGGUGGAUGUUCAGAAAUGACUCCCCCCCACACGGUGCAGGGGCGGGCAGAUGACCACGCGUGGCGCCCUGCCGGGGAACGUGGCAGGUGUCUGGACACCGCGUCCCCAGGCGACUUGUGCACGGGCAGCCUUCCCAGCAGCUCACGCUCUGUUCCCAGCCGCUCCUGCUGCCGCGCGCCACCCCCCUCCCCGCUCCGGGAUGGAAGGGGCGGGGGGGGGGCGGCCGGGCCCCGGGCUGGAAAAUUUCACACGCAGGCUCGCCCGCUUGGCUAAGGGUCUGGCAGUGCAGGUGGCUUGUGGUCGGGCCUUGGUCAGCCCUGCCCUCCACCAAGGACUUCCAGAUCGGGCACAAACAAGGGGCUCGGUGGGACGCCCUGAGCCGCAGACCCUACAAGGAGGGGCUUGUGUUCUGCAGGGGUGGAGGAGACUGACAGGGGAGCAAGACCGGCGAGACGCUUGCGGGGUGGGAGACGGUCUUGAUGAUUGGACAUGGGAACAUGAACCUAUUUGUCCUGAAUCGAGGCUUCUGGGAGAAAGGCCCUCUCAGCGUCGCAGAGAAACAAAACCUCUGCUUGGUGAAGACACAGGAUCCAGAGCCGUAACCAGCCGCCCGAAGCCAGCAGGCGGCUACGAGCCGGCUGUGCAACCUCAGGCAAGCUGCUUAACCUCUCUGGGCCUCUAUCUCCCCAUCCAGAUGCUUAGCGGAUGUUUGCGUUGUAAUUCGUAGACUCACCUGCUCCUCCAUGCCUCCCUCCCUCCACACCUAGGCUACCCCAGAGUGAUAUUUUCCACCCUGUGAAAUUUCUACUCUUUUCAGAUCCAAGUCAAAAGUCCCCUCCUCCAGGGAGCCUUCCCUGAUCUUCAGGUACCUUCUAAGUGCACCCAUGCCUGCUCUUUAACCUAUAAACAGCUGCUUAUCGAGACUGUGUAUAGACAACUCCUUGUCCCCGGGCCCGGGGCUGGCCCCAAGGAAGCACCGGACGACCG
This is a long non-coding RNA of Oryctolagus cuniculus (rabbit), 1579 nucleotides long. The record is from Ensembl. NCBI's taxonomy places the organism in Eukaryota, Metazoa, Chordata, Mammalia, Lagomorpha, Leporidae.